RNA transcript from Balaenoptera musculus (blue whale), 2560 nucleotides. It is a transcript of the gene named solute carrier family 25 member 26, with no coding region annotated. NCBI's taxonomy places the organism in Eukaryota, Metazoa, Chordata, Mammalia, Artiodactyla, Balaenopteridae. The transcript is spliced from 11 exons. The record is from RefSeq and is a predicted model, not a curated record.
UCGCGAGAGUUCCUCCACCUGGCCCACUCAGAAGCUGUAGGAAACGGAGGCAGAGAAGAGUCGCGAGCCUUGACUCGACCACACUUUCCAGGCCCCGCCCCUCCUUCCUCGCCCUCCUCCUGGCCCAGCUUCCCCGGUUGCACGUGUAAUUGUUGUGGUUGAACCUCACGUGGCCACGGAAGUGCCGGCGUUACAUGCCCCGCCUCCAAGAUGGCGGCGCCCAGUGCCGGGGCCCACGACCUGAGCCGGCUCAGCUUUGAAUUAUAACCUUGACUGAGUCUGUGCGGCCAUGGACCGGCCUGGCUUCACAGCCUCGCUGGUGGCUGGUGGGGUAGCAGGUGUCUGUGUUGACUUGAUAUUAUUUCCUCUGGAUACCAUUAAAACCAGGCUGCAGAGCCCCCAAGGAUUUAAUAAGGCUGGUGGUUUUCGUGGAAUAUAUGCUGGCGUUCCUUCUGCUGCUAUUGGAUCCUUUCCUAAUGCUGCUGCAUUUUUUAUCACCUAUGAAUAUGUGAAAUGGUUUUUGCACACUGAUUCGUCUUCAUAUUUGAUGCCUGUGAAGCAUAUGUUGGCUGCCUCUGCUGGAGAAGUGGUUGCUUGCCUGAUUCGAGUUCCUUCUGAAGUAGUUAAGCAGAGGGCACAGGUAUCUGCUUCUUCAGGAACAUUUCACAUUUUCUCUAACAUCUUAUGUCAAGAGGGCAUCCAAGGAUUGUAUCGAGGCUACAAAAGCACUGUUUUAAGAGAGAUUCCUUUCUCAUUGGUCCAGUUUCCCCUGUGGGAGUCCUUAAAAGCCCUCUGGUCCUGGAGGCAGGAUCAUGUGGUGGAUUCUUGGCAGUCAGCAGUCUGUGGAGCAUUUGCAGGUGGAUUUGCAGCUGCAGUCACCACGCCUCUGGACGUGGCAAAAACCAGAAUCAUGUUGGCAAAGGCCGGCUCCAGCCCUGCAAGUGGGAACGUCCUCUCUGCCCUGCACGGGGUCUGGCGGACACGGGGGCUGUCAGGAUUAUUUGCAGGUGUCUUCCCUCGAAUGGCAGCCAUCAGUCUGGGAGGUUUCAUCUUUCUUGGUGCUUAUGACCAGACUCGCAGCUUUCUGCUGGAACUUGGCAGAGAGAGUCCAUGAAUCAGAGACGGCCCCUGCUUUCAAGAAAGGGUCCUGCUGUGAGAACUGUUUCCCCUCCGGUGAGCAGCCGUUUGGCCAUCUAAACAACAGAACGCGGCGCUCAAGUCCAGUUCUGCUCAGAUUACGACAUGGAGAACGCAUCUUCCGUGCUGCAGGCUGGCCGGGAUGACGUCAUCGGCCUGGUUCCCAGAGUUCAGAGAGAAAAGGAUGUCCACAGCGAGAGGUGUCCAGCGGCCCAUGUGGUGUGUGAGAGAGAAACCAGUCGCAGCCCAGUGACUAGGUGGGCCCAGCGGGCUUCACGGCAGGAGGGCCGUCACUGACCUGGCUCCUCUCCACUUCAGACCCAAAGCAAGGGCCGGGCCGGCUUUGGAAACGGGGUGGGUUCAUCAUUCCUAAUCACUAAGGUUUGUUGCUUGGAGUUUUAAGCUCAACACUAGAAAUCAAAGAGAUGAAGAAGUGGGAAGGUCACCAUCUUGGAGCUCUACUAAUAAGCUCCAGGUGUUAGAAAAAUUCAGAAAGCAAUCUCAGGAAUCUAGUGGUGUCAUGUUUUCCCUGGAGCUACGGGUAUAUAUACCAUUCUGCUUUGACUAAAAAUUUUUUUUCCUUUUUGGGGGUGGGGUGGGGGGGAAGGUACAUACUUCAGGCAGGAUGACUCCCUUACAAAGGCAAUCUCUGGAAUUAAUUAAACAGGAUGCAGCAAUGCUGGUUAAUGGAGGUAUAAAAAUAACCCCGCCACACACUUAACAUUUUAUAAAUGAACCUUUAUUAAAGACACUUCAAUGCCAUUUGUUAGACACUUCAAUAUUUUACAUGUUGCUUUUCAAUGUACAUUGUACCAAAAUUUCUAUAAAUAAAUAACUUUGUACAUAAAAGUAAGUAAUACUUCCUCUUUCACAUUGCCUCUCAGAAGCAGCAAAUUCACAUAUUUUGUGGAAGUAAGAAUCAGUUAACUGUUGAGAACAAAAUUGUAAAUGUGCUUACCUUUUGGAACAGUGAUGACAUCUGACAGUGAAAUUUAACAUAGGUAAGUAACCAUUCUGUCAGUACCUCCCUUCAGCUUUUUGGCCAAAGGAACUUUGCUUUCUGAGAUUUUUUUAAGGACCUUGUUUCAAUGUAAUUUUUCCUGAAAUACACAUUGGCACUCACAAGAUGGUUAGCAACAGGUCUCAAAAAAGUGCAAAUAUACCCAGAACCCGGGUCAAGGGCUAAUCGCUUAGAGUCCAAGCCCGGGUCCAUCUGUGCGAGGGAAGGAAAUGGAUAGGCCUGCUCUGCACCCUCAGUAAAGACACGCUAGCCCUGAAAAGGAGGGACUCGGUUUUUCCUCCCCCAAGGCCAAUGUAAUAUUAAUUAUAUCGGCAGAACUAAAACAAACAUCACUAUUGAAAAAUCCACAGGUACCAACACCAGCAGCCUCUAUCUAUCUAAUUAAAAAGCCUCAAAUGACCA